This 495-nucleotide ribosomal RNA is filed under the name uncultured bacterium. Its description in RNAcentral is "partial 16S ribosomal RNA". It matches the Rfam family "Bacterial small subunit ribosomal RNA", at positions 29 to 507 of the family's 1533-position model. The record is from RNAcentral.
AACGAACGCUGGCGGCGCGUCUUACCCAUGCAGGUCGAACGGAAGGGAGGAGCUUGCUUCUCUUCCUGGGUGGCGGACCGGGUAGGAAAACGUUGGGUAUCCUCCCCUUAGAUUGGGGAUGCCUCCAGAAAAAGCAGGUAAUUCCCAAUUCACUCCGCAUUAUACAAGGGGUGGUGAGGAAAGGUAGCUACGGCUUUGCUUGAGGAUGAGCUUGCGUCCCAUUAGCUAGUUGGUGAGGUAAAGGCCCACCAAGGCGACGAUGGGUAUCCGGACUGAGAGGGUGAACGGACACAUUGGGACUGAGAUACGGCCCAAACUCCUACGGGAGGCAGCAGCUAAGAAUAUUCCGCAAUGGACGGAAGUCUGACGGAGCGACGCCGCGUGGAUGAAGAAGGCUGAAAAGUUGUAAAAUCCUUUUGUUGAUGAAGAAUAAGGGUGAGAGGGAAUGCUCAUCUGAUGACGGUAAUCGACGAAUAAGCCCCGGCUAAUUACGUG